CUGGUGGAGGUGGAGGUGGUUGGAUUGUUGGUGACUUCUGUGAAGCAUUGUUGGCCACAGCUAGCUUAGGAGGAGGUAAUGGGGGUGAAGGUGGUACUGAUGGUGCAGAAGUAACACGGGAUGACAGUGGUGGAGGCGGAGGUGGAUGAGGGGCUGCCACGCGAUUUCUUUUACUUAAGGAUGGAAAACUUUGUGAAGGGGGAGGUGGUGGAGGUGGAGGUGGAGCAGGAGGUGUUUGAGAAGAAUGUGGUGGUGGAGGUGGAACAGGUGGUGUUCGAGGAGGUGGAGGUGGAGGUGGAACAGGCGGUGUUCGAGAUGAAGGUGGUGGAGGAGGUGGAACAGGUGGUGUUCGAGAAGGAGGUGGAGGUGGAACAGGCGGUGUUCUAGAUGGAGGAGGUGGUGGAGGUGGAACUGGCGGUGUUCGAGAUGGAGGAGGUGGCACUGGCAGUGAUCGAGGAGGUGGAGGAGGUGGAACAGGUGGUGUUUGCACCCGCGCAACACUGUGUGAAAAUGUAGGCAUCAAAGACGGGGUGUCUGGAUAUUCCAUCGUUGCACUGUGCUUGUUAUCUAGAAACUGCGGUUGAGACAACGAGACUUCAGGUUCAUUAAGUAGUGUAGAAGGCAGAGGUGGUGAUCGUGGCCGUGGAGAGGAAAAUGGUGAUUUUGCCAAAGCUGGGGGCAGAGGCGGG
This 689-nucleotide long non-coding RNA is filed under the name Sorghum bicolor (sorghum). RNAcentral's name for it is "long non-coding RNA (SBIC_LNC007477)". Lineage: Eukaryota; Viridiplantae; Streptophyta; Magnoliopsida; Poales; Poaceae. The record is from RNAcentral.